This 548-nucleotide ribosomal RNA is filed under the name uncultured bacterium. Its description in RNAcentral is "bacterial SSU rRNA". It matches the Rfam family "Bacterial small subunit ribosomal RNA", at positions 355 to 896 of the family's 1533-position model. The record is from RNAcentral.
UGGGGAAUUUUGGACAAUGGGGGCAACCCUGAUCCAGCCAUGCCGCGUGCGGGAAGAAGGCCUUCGGGUUGUAAACCGCUUUUAGCUGGGAAGAAAAGGCACGGGCCAAUACCCCGUGUUCUUGACGGUACCGGCGGAAUAAGCACCGGCUAACUACGUGCCAGCAGCCGCGGUAAUACGUAGGGUGCGAGCGUUAAUCGGAAUUACUGGGCGUAAAGCGUGCGCAGGCGGUUCGUUGUGUUUGCGGUGAAAGCCCCGGGCUCAACCUGGGAAUGGCCGUGAAAACUGGCGAGCUGGAGUGUGGCAGAGGGGGGUGGAAUUCCAGGUGUAGCAGUGAAAUGCGUAGAGAUCUGGAGGAACACCGAUGGCGAAGGCAGCCCCCUGGGCUGACACUGACGCUCAGGCACGAAAGCGUGGGGGGCAAACAGGAUUAGAUACCCUGGUAGUCCACGCCCUAAACGAUGGCAACUGGGUGUUGGGGGAGCGAUUCCUCAGUACCGUAGCUAACGCGUGAAGUUGCCCGCCUGGGGAGUACGGCCGCAAGGUUA